Molecule: transfer RNA, 87 nt
Filed under: Phycisphaera mikurensis NBRC 102666
Lineage: Bacteria; Pseudomonadati; Planctomycetota; Phycisphaerae; Phycisphaerales; Phycisphaeraceae
Description: tRNA-Leu
Rfam family: tRNA
About the family: Transfer RNA (tRNA) molecules are approximately 80 nucleotides in length. Their secondary structure includes four short double-helical elements and three loops (D, anti-codon, and T loops). Further hydrogen bonds mediate the characteristic L-shaped molecular structure. tRNAs have two regions of fundamental functional importance: the anti-codon, which is responsible for specific mRNA codon recognition, and the 3' end, to which the tRNAs corresponding amino acid is attached (by aminoacyl-tRNA synthetases). tRNAs cope with the degeneracy of the genetic code in two manners: having more than one tRNA (with a specific anti-codon) for a particular amino acid; and 'wobble' base-pairing, i.e. permitting non-standard base-pairing at the 3rd anti-codon position.
Source: RNAcentral
GCCCGCGUGGCGGAAUUGGCAGACGCGCCGUCUUCAGGUGGCGGUUCCUUCACCGGAGUACAGGUUCGACUCCUGUCGCGGGCAUAC